Stegodyphus dumicola is the source of this 265-nucleotide long non-coding RNA. The record is from RefSeq and is a predicted model, not a curated record. Lineage: Eukaryota; Metazoa; Arthropoda; Arachnida; Araneae; Eresidae.
UCACCUCCAGUCUAUUAUGGUGGGAAGGGGCUAUUUAUCAGAGGAAGAAUACCCUCAUAUGGAAAAGCUAUCCUUUUGUAUGUCGCUGAAACAAUUCCAAAAUUGAAGAGUAGAACUCAGAACAAAGGUGGAAGUGAUCAGUCACAAAAUGUUCAAAAUGCAAAGAAAGGCAAUAAAAAGAAAAGACGUUAGAUGCGAUAUGAAAUGUAUAUGUCUGAAAACUGAGUCUUGAUUUUUUUUUUAAUAAAGUAUUUUAAAAGCAUUA